This is a long non-coding RNA of Limanda limanda (common dab), 214 nucleotides long. RefSeq lists it as uncharacterized. NCBI's taxonomy places the organism in Eukaryota, Metazoa, Chordata, Actinopteri, Pleuronectiformes, Pleuronectidae. The record is from RefSeq and is a predicted model, not a curated record. The transcript is spliced from 3 exons.
CCCUGGAGGAGAAGAUGAGUGCGUGUGGAGGCAGAGCCGCGGGCCCGGUGUGGACGAGUCGAGGCGGAGAAGACGGGCGCACAGUCCCUGAGUUACGCCUCAGCCCCCCCCCACACACACAAACAAAGAGGCGUUAGGCUGAGACGCUGAAAGUCCGGAUUUAAAGUGCAGAAAAUUAAGCCAUUGAAUCUGCCUGUCCAUGACGUAGUAAGAC